Molecule: non-coding RNA, 28 nt
Filed under: Bombyx mori (domestic silkworm)
Lineage: Eukaryota; Metazoa; Arthropoda; Insecta; Lepidoptera; Bombycidae
Source: RNAcentral
UCAAGACCUAAUCUCCGAAUGCGACUAA